This 484-nucleotide ribosomal RNA is filed under the name uncultured bacterium. RNAcentral's name for it is "partial 16S ribosomal RNA". It matches the Rfam family "Bacterial small subunit ribosomal RNA", at positions 30 to 507 of the family's 1533-position model. The record is from RNAcentral.
AUUGAACGCUGGCGGCAGGCCUAACACAUGCAAGUCGAGCGGAUGAAGGGAGCUUGCUCCUGGAUUCAGCGGCGGACGGGUGAGUAAUGCCUAGGGAUCUGCCUGGUAGUGGGGGAUAACGUCCGGAAACGGGCGCUAAUACCGCAUACGUCCUGAGGGAGAAAGUGGGGGAUCUUCGGACCUCACGCUGUCAGAUGAGCCUAGGUCGGAUUAGCUAGUUGGUGGGGUAAAGGCCUACCAAGGCGACGAUCCGUAACUGGUCUGAGAGGAUGAUCAGUCACACUGGAACUGAGACACGGUCCAGACUCCUACGGGAGGCAGCAGUGGGGAAUAUUGGACAAUGGGCGAAAGCCUGAUCCAGCCAUGCCGCGUGUGUGAAGAAGGUCUUCGGAUUGUAAAGCACUUUAAGUUGGGAGGAAGGGCAGUAAGUUAAUACCUUGCUGUUUUGACGUUACCAACAGAAUAAGCACCGGCUAACUUCGUG